RNAcentral lists this ribosomal RNA (253 nucleotides) under uncultured bacterium. RNAcentral describes it as "partial 16S ribosomal RNA". It matches the Rfam family "Bacterial small subunit ribosomal RNA", at positions 524 to 776 of the family's 1533-position model. The record is from RNAcentral.
UACGUAGGGUGCAAGCGUUGUCCGGAAUUAUUGGGCGUAAAGAGCUUGUAGGCGGUUUGUCGCGUCUGCUGUGAAAUUUCGGGGCUCAACCCCGAACUUGCAGUGGGUACGGGCAGACUAGAGUGUGGUAGGGGAGACUGGAAUUCCUGGUGUAGCGGUGAAAUGCGCAGAUAUCAGGAAGAACACCCGUGGCGAAGGCGGCUCUCUGGGACGGUACUGACGCUAAGGCGCGAAAGCGUGGGGAGCAAACAGG